Molecule: ribosomal RNA, 490 nt
Filed under: uncultured bacterium
Lineage: Bacteria
Description: partial 16S ribosomal RNA
Rfam family: Bacterial small subunit ribosomal RNA
Source: RNAcentral
AUUGAACGCUGGCGGCAGGCCUAACACAUGCAAGUCGAACGGUAACAGGAAGCAGCUUGCUGCUUCGCUGACGAGUGGCGGACGGGUGAGUAAUGUCUGGGAAGCUGCCUGAUGGAGGGGGAUAACUACUGGAAACGGUAGCUAAUACCGCAUAAUGUCGCAAGACCAAAGAGGGGGACCUUCGGGCCUCUUGCCAUCGGAUGUGCCCAGAUGGGAUUAGCUUGUUGGUGGGGUAACGGCCCACCAAGGCGACGAUCCCUAGCUGGUCUGAGAGGAUGACCAGCCACACUGGAACUGAGACACGGUCCAGACUCCUACGGGAGUCAGCAGUGGGGAAUAUUGCACAAUGGGCGCAAGCCUGAUGCAGCCAUGCCGCGUGUAUGAAGAAGGCCUUCGGGUUGUAAAGUACUUUCAGCGGGGAGGAAGGGAGUAAAGUUAAUACCUUUGCUCAUUGACGUUACCCGCAGAAGAAGCACCGGCUAACUCCGUG